This 529-nucleotide ribosomal RNA is filed under the name uncultured Cryptococcus. RNAcentral's name for it is "eukaryotic LSU rRNA". The stretch from base 166 to 319 matches the Rfam family "5.8S ribosomal RNA". The record is from RNAcentral. Lineage: Eukaryota; Fungi; Basidiomycota; Tremellomycetes.
CUUGGUCAUUUAGAGGAAGUAAAAGUCGUAACAAGGUUUCCGUAGGUAAACCUGCGGAAGGAUCAUUAGAGAUGUGCGCAAGCACUUUCAUUCACACACCUGUGCACCGUGGUCUCCGGACCUACAAACAUGAAGUCAUGAACGUCUUUUUUAUUAUAACAAUAAAACUUUCAACAACGGAUCUCUUGGCUCUCGCAUCGAUGAAGAACGCAGCGAAAUGCGAUAAGUAAUGUGAAUUGCAGAAUUCAGUGAAUCAUCGAAUCUUUGAACGCAUCUUGCGCCCUUUGGUAUUCCGAAGGGCAUGCCUGUUUGAGUGUCAUGAAACAUCAUCCCGUUGGGUUUCCAACGGCAUGGAUUUGGGUGUUGCUGUCCGGCUCGCCUCAAAAGCCUUAGUGGUCCGAUCCGAAUCUGGCGUAAUAAGUUUCGCCGGCCUAGAUGAAGACUGCUUGACCCGUCUCUGACAUUUUUGCUCUGACCUCAAAUCAGGUAGGACUACCCGCUGAACUUAAGCAUAUCAAUAAGCGGAGGA